UAUUUCAGGAAGAAGUCUGAGAUUGGGAACC
Molecule: non-coding RNA, 31 nt
Filed under: Rattus norvegicus (Norway rat)
Lineage: Eukaryota; Metazoa; Chordata; Mammalia; Rodentia; Muridae
Source: RNAcentral